RNAcentral lists this ribosomal RNA (289 nucleotides) under uncultured Gammaproteobacteria bacterium. RNAcentral's name for it is "partial 16S ribosomal RNA". Lineage: Bacteria; Pseudomonadati; Pseudomonadota; Gammaproteobacteria. The record is from RNAcentral.
CUACCCGGGUAUCUAAUCCUGUUUGCUCCCCACGCUUUCGCACAUGAACGUCAGUAUUGGACCAGGAAGUCGCUUUCGCCACUGGUGUUCCUUCCGAUAUCUACGCAUUUCACCGCUACACCGGAAAUUCCACUUCCCUCUUCCAUACUCUAGCCAUGCAGUCUCAAAUGCAGUUCCCAGGUUGAGCCCAGGGAUUUCACAUCUGACUUACAAAACCGUCUACGCGCGCUUUACGCCCAGUAAUUCCGAUUAACGCUCGCACCCUCUGUAUUACCGCGGCUGCUGGCAC